This 131-nucleotide ribosomal RNA is filed under the name uncultured Pedobacter sp. Its description in RNAcentral is "partial 16S ribosomal RNA". It matches the Rfam family "Bacterial small subunit ribosomal RNA", at positions 397 to 524 of the family's 1533-position model. The record is from RNAcentral. Lineage: Bacteria; Pseudomonadati; Bacteroidota; Sphingobacteriia; Sphingobacteriales; Sphingobacteriaceae.
CCGCGUGCAGGAAGACGGCCCUCUGGGUGUGUAAACUGCUUUUGUACGGGAAUAAACCUUGCUUCGUGAAGCGAGCUGAAUGUACCGUAAGAAUAAGGAUCGGCUAACUCCGUGCCAGCAGCCGCGGUAAU